CUAAGUAUAAAUAAGUCUAUACUGUGAAACUGCGAAUGGCUCAUUAAACCAGUUAUAGUUUAUUUGAUAGUACCUUACUACUUGGAUAACCGUGGUAAUUCUAGAGCUAAUACAUGCACAAAAACCCGACUUCUGGAAGGGUUGUAUUUAUUAGAUACAAAACCAACCUGGGCAACCAGUUCAUUGGUGAUUCAUAGUAACUUUUCUAAUCGCACGGCCUUGCGCUGGCGAUGUUUCAUUCAAAUUUCUGACCUAUCAGCUAUCGUCGGUAGGGUAUUGGCCUACCGUGGCAAUGACGGGUAACGGAGAAUUAGGGUUCGAUUCCGGAGAGGGAGCCUGAGAAACGGCUACCACAUCUAAGGAAGGCAGCAGGCGCGCAAAUUACCCAAUCCUGACAUAGGGAGGUAGUGACAAGAAAUACCAAUACGGGGCAUCCAUGUCUCGUAAUUGGAAUGAGUAAACUUUAAAUCACUUUACGAGUAUCAAUUGGAGGGCAAGUCUGGUGCCAGCAGCCGCGGUAAUUCCAGCUCCAAUAGCGUAUAUUAAAGUUGUUGCGGUUAAAAAGCUCGUAGUUGGAUUUCUGUUGGGAACGACCGGUCCGCCCACUGGGUGUGCAUCUGGCUUGUUCU
This 629-nucleotide ribosomal RNA is filed under the name uncultured eukaryote. RNAcentral's name for it is "bacterial SSU rRNA". It matches the Rfam family "Eukaryotic small subunit ribosomal RNA", at positions 59 to 690 of the family's 1831-position model. The record is from RNAcentral.